RNAcentral lists this ribosomal RNA (458 nucleotides) under uncultured bacterium. RNAcentral describes it as "bacterial SSU rRNA". It matches the Rfam family "Bacterial small subunit ribosomal RNA", at positions 28 to 507 of the family's 1533-position model. The record is from RNAcentral.
GAUGAACGCUGGCGGCGUGCUUGAUACAUGCAAGUCGAACGGAGAGUGUAGCAAUAUACUCUUAGUGGCGAACGGGUGAGUAACGCGUUGGUGACCUGCCCCGAAGCGAGGGAUAACAGUUCGAAAGAACUGCUAAUACCUCAUGUGAUCACCGGUUUUAGAAUCUGGUGAUUAAAGGUGAAAAUCACUUCGGGAGGGGCCUGCGUCCCAUCAGCUAGUUGGUAGGGUAAUGGCUUACCAAGGCGAUGACGGGUAGGGGACCUGAGAGGGUGGCCCCCCACAAUGGAACUGAAACACGGUCCAUACACCUACGGGUGGCAGCAGUAGGGAAUAUUGCAAAUGGGCGAAAGCCUGAUGUAGCAACGCCGCGUGUGCGAUGAAGGUCUUCGGAUUGUAAAGCACUUUUGGAGGGAUGAGGAAGGACAGUACCUCCAGAAUAAGCCUCGGCUAACUACGUG